This 512-nucleotide ribosomal RNA is filed under the name uncultured bacterium. RNAcentral's name for it is "partial 16S ribosomal RNA". It matches the Rfam family "Bacterial small subunit ribosomal RNA", at positions 28 to 523 of the family's 1533-position model. The record is from RNAcentral.
GACGAACGCUGGCGGCGUGCCUAAUACAUGCAAGUCGAGCGGAACUGGGGGAGCUUGCUCCUUCCAGUUUAGCGGCGGACGGGUGAGUAACACGUGGGCAACCUGCCCUGCAGACCGGGAUAACUCCGGGAAACCGGUGCUAACACCGAAUAGUUUGGCGCCUCUCCUGAGGCGCUACGGAAAGACGGUUUCGGCUGUCACUGCAGGAUGGGCCCGCGGCGCAUUAGCUAGUUGGUGGGGUAACGGCCCACCAAGGCGACGAUGCGUAGCCGACCUGAGAGGGUGACCGGCCACACUGGGACUGAGACACGGCCCAGACUCCUACGGGAGGCAGCAGUAGGGAAUCUUCCGCAAUGGACGCAAGUCUGACGGAGCAACGCCGCGUGAGUGACGAAGGUUUUCGGAUCGUAAAACUCUGUUGUGAGGGAAGAACACGUACCAACUAACUAUUGGUACCUUGACGGUACCUCACCAGAAAGCCACGGCUAACUACGUGCCAGCCGCCGCAGUAA